UUCUGCAGGUACCAGUGGAGAUCAUCAUCAAUUUUCUGACUGGCUCUGCAGUUGAUGGUAACAGUUUGUCCUGGAGAAACCGAGUGAGAUCCUGGAGUCUGAGUCAUGAUGAUUUCUCCAAACGACUCUAAAGAGAAGAAGAGAGAAAAGUUGAAGGUGAUAAAGAGACGGUGAUGGUGAGCGCUGAUGUUGGAGGACUGAUAUGAAGAUAGUAAAUAAACAGUGAAUCUCACGUUGAGUGAGGAGGCCGAGUGUAUUCAGCAGUAGAAUCAGAACCUUCAUCAUUGUGCUGCGUCUCAGUGACUCUGAAAGUCCUGAACCCAGUCUGAUCAGAACUACAGCUCUUAUAGUGUGUGUGUGUGUGUGUGUGUGUGUGUGUGUGUGUGUGUGUGUGUGUGUGUGUGUGGAAUCACUGGAGUGGAACAGAGGUUUUUGUACGACGGCUUCAUUGGAAUGUAUCACUGUGCUACACUUUUGGUGGAGGAACCAAACUCAUUGUAAACACCGGUCCCACGGUGAAGCCGUCCGUGUCUCUGCUCCCUCCCUCCUCUCUGCAGCUGUCUGAGGGAUCGGCCUCGCUGCUCUGCCUGCUGUCUGGUUACUCUCCACAGGGGGCGCUGGUGAGCUGGACGGUGGACGGCACAGUGCUGCAGGACGGGGUGGUGACCGGAGCAGAAGAACUUAAAGGGGGCAGUUGGAGGCGUGGUAGCACCCUGACCCUCACCAAAGCACAGUGGGAAAAGAGGGCGGAGUUUGGCUGUAAGGUCUCUCACGGUGGCGUCGAUCAUCCCGUCGUAUUCAGAAAGAACCAGUGUGAAGGCUAGCAGCUCCCAGAUAGAACUGAACAUGGAGACACUUCCACAUGCUUCUACAAUGGAGUUUCAGUUCUACACAAUGCUGCAUUUCGGUCUUUCCUCUGUUCAGUGUCCUGUUGCUCUUCCUGUAGUUUUGCUGUGCUGAAAUAAAGCUUGAUUUUGGA
Molecule: long non-coding RNA, 979 nt
Organism: Trichomycterus rosablanca
Lineage: Eukaryota; Metazoa; Chordata; Actinopteri; Siluriformes; Trichomycteridae
Exons: 2
Source: RefSeq, a predicted model, not a curated record